GAUGAACGCUGGCGGCGUGCCUAAUACAUGCAAGUCGAGCGAACAGACGAGGAGCUUGCUCCUCUGACGUUAGCGGCGGACGGGUGAGUAACACGUGGAUAACCUACCUAUAAGACUGGGAUAACUUCGGGAAACCGGAGCUAAUACCGGAUAACAUGUUGAACCGCAUGGUUCAACAGUGAAAGACGGUCUUGCUGUCACUUAUAGAUGGAUCCGCGCCGCAUUAGCUAGUUGGUAAGGUAACGGCUUACCAAGGCAACGAUGCGUAGCCGACCUGAGAGGGUGAUCGGCCACACUGGAAAUGAGACACGGUCCAGACUCCUACGGGAGGCAGCAGUAGGGAAUCUUCCGCAAUGGGCGAAAGCCUGACGGAGCAACGCCGCGUGAGUGAAGAAGGUCUUCGGAUCGUAAAACUCUGUUAUUAGGGAAGAACAAAUGUGUAAGUAACUAUGCACGUCUUGACGGUACCUAAUCAGAAAGCCACGGCUAACUACGUGC
RNAcentral lists this ribosomal RNA (498 nucleotides) under uncultured bacterium. RNAcentral's name for it is "partial 16S ribosomal RNA". It matches the Rfam family "Bacterial small subunit ribosomal RNA", at positions 28 to 508 of the family's 1533-position model. The record is from RNAcentral.